GUGUGACCCUGGUCAAGUUAGUCACUCUCUCUGAUACUAAAGUUGUAGAGCCAUCUUGCUGGCCCUGCACCCCAGGGUGUAGGAGAAGAUCUAGAUGUGCCCAGUGUACAGAAACUGGAACCUACCAUCUAAAUUUGACUGCCCCUCAGAUGUCUCUGGUUCUCAGCUUCCUGACCUGCAAAUGUGCAAGACUACACCAAUCUGCAGUCUCUUCUGGCUCUGAUUUCUGAAAAUCACGUAUUUUCAAAUCCUAGGAACAUUAUUCUUCUCUCUUAGCAUGCUAGAUUUCCUUUUAAAUGAAAGAAAUUUUAAUUUAAAAAAAAGUAACACAAAUAGCAUCAACAUGGAAAUAUAUUUGGGAAAGUAUCUGAUAUUCAAGAUUUCCAUGCAAUUAAAAAGAUAGGCCAUAGUGUCAGGCUCAGAUUCUAAUUCCAGCCAUUUCGGUGUCCCUAUUUUGCAUCCUCUGACCUCCAAGAGAUAUUCUGAAAAGUCUACCUUGAAUUUACUACUCAAAGACUUCAUCAAUCUAAGAAGACAUGCAUUAAUAAUGCCUUUUUGGAGAUGAAGAAAUUAAGUCAGAAAGUAGGGAUCCAGGGCCAAAAAACUAGUAAACGGAAAAAUCAGGAUUUUAACCCUGGAAAGCUUAACUCCAAAGUCUGUGCUUUCUGCCAUGUCUGACUGCUUCUCCAACUAAAAAACAUGUUUUAUUCUACUUUUUGUCACGUCCAAGUAUGGCGCAUGCUAAGCUUACUAUAGUUGCUUCAUGUUCCUAGUUUCUGAGAACAGAAGUUUGAAGGGAAUACAAGUGGUAAGCCAUUGGUGACUUCUCCACUUCAAUUAUGAGUUUAGACCCAAUUGUUUAUUCAUCAAAACAAACCUCAGAGCUGCCAACCACAGAUCUGGUCAUUGUGGGUUUUGUUUUGUUUUAUUUUUUAAUAAGGAGAGAAAGACCUAAUUUGGCAGAGGAGACCAAGAAGCCCGGGCUAUACAUUUGCAUAAAGAUGAUUACUAAAACUGAAGAAUUGCUUCUCAUAAAAAAAACUGAUGGAGUUAAAAAAAAAUCCAAAUGAAUUAAACCAGCAGUUCCUACCCUGUGAUUUGUAGAAAACUGUUUCUGAGAGAUGCUGGAAAGUAUUCUGGAGAAAACAAUUAAUCUGUUUACCAUUUGUAAAAUGGUAAAUUUGGAAAAUACUACAUUCUAACGAUAUCUUUUUCCUGGAGAUACUGAAUGCACGUCAGGCUAUCAAAGACUGGAAUGUUUUAAAGAAACAUGUUUAACUCUAUACUCCAACAAUUCCCAACAAAGAUAAAGUAAAUAAUUAAAUAACUAAUUACAAUCAGAAUACCUAGUUUUGUUUUUAUUUUUGCACACCUGCAGAACAAUGUUUUUUGGAACACCAAUAUAGAACACUAAAUUUUUUAAAAUGGGCCAGGCGUGAUGGCUCACGCCUAUAAUCUCAGCUCUCUGGGAGGCUGAGGUAGGUGGAUCACUUGAGGUCAGGAGUUCAAGACCAGCCUGGCCAACAUAGCGAAACCGCAUUUCUACUAAAAAUACAAAAAUUAGCCCGAUGUGGUGAUGGGCACUUGUAAUCCCAGCUAGUCGGGAGGCUGAGGCAGGAGAAGUGCUUGAACCUGGGGGGAGGAGGCUGAAGUGAGAUGAGGUAGAGCCACUGCUCUCAAGCCUGGGCGAUAGAGUGAGACUCUGUCUUAAAAUAAAUAAAUAAAUACAUAAAUAAUAAAUUAAUUUUAAAAAACUGAACAAAGUUAGGCCUCAAAAAAAUAUACUAUGUACAUCAGCUAAAGAGGUCUGACAAUUUUCUGAUGUCAACAACAGAUACUAUCAGCAAAAAGAUAAAUAAUUGUAAUCAAUUUUUAUAGAACAAACAAAACCAAGACAAAAGAACUAAGAGGGAAAAAUACAACAAAAAUCAUGCAUUAGACAUAUCGAAGUUGACAUCUCUAAUACAUACUUAGGAUGUAGAAUUCUUAUGUUGCUGCUAUAAAGACCCAGAAGAACAGAGGGACAAAAAACAUUAACACAAGAAACCGAAAAUAGCAAACAUAUGCAAGUAAUUUCAAUUGCACUGAUAAGUUUAAAAUUCCACAUGGAACAAUAAUAAAAUGCAUUUUUUAUCCUUCUAAAGCUGUAAGAAAUAGAAAAAAGAAAUUUGGUGAAUGGAGAGGCUUUGGAGAAAUGGCCACAAACCAUACAGAAGACAAAUUAUAUUUCAAGUCACAAAACCACCCUUACAUUUGACAUAGUAAAUCCAGUCCUGAUAAUUCCUUUCAAAACAACUGUUGCCAUUUCCUCAAUAAUAAAGGAUGUGUA
Molecule: long non-coding RNA, 2329 nt
Filed under: Homo sapiens (human)
Lineage: Eukaryota; Metazoa; Chordata; Mammalia; Primates; Hominidae
Description: HSALNT0350239
Source: RNAcentral